UGGCGGACGGGUGAGUAACGCGUAAAGAACUUGCCCUUUAGACUGGGAUAACAGAGGGAAACUUCUGAUAAUACUGGAUAAGUUAGUAUAUCGCAUGAUAUACAAAUGAAAGCUACGGCACUAAAGGAGAGCUUUGCGUCCUAUUAGCUAGUUGGUAAGGUAAGAGCUUACCAAGGCGAUGAUAGGUAGCCGGCCUGAGAGGGUGGACGGCCACAAGGGGACUGAGAUNGGCCCUUACUCCUACGGGAGGCAGCAGUC
RNAcentral lists this ribosomal RNA (258 nucleotides) under uncultured Leptotrichia sp. RNAcentral describes it as "partial 16S ribosomal RNA". It matches the Rfam family "Bacterial small subunit ribosomal RNA", at positions 96 to 355 of the family's 1533-position model. The record is from RNAcentral. Lineage: Bacteria; Fusobacteriati; Fusobacteriota; Fusobacteriia; Fusobacteriales; Leptotrichiaceae.